This 585-nucleotide ribosomal RNA is filed under the name uncultured bacterium. RNAcentral's name for it is "bacterial SSU rRNA". It matches the Rfam family "Bacterial small subunit ribosomal RNA", at positions 339 to 917 of the family's 1533-position model. The record is from RNAcentral.
CUACGGGAGGCAGCAGUGGGGAAUUUUGGACAAUGGGCGAAAGCCUGAUCCAGCAAUGCCGCGUGAGUGAAGAAGGCCUUCGGGUUGUAAAGCUCUUUUGUCAGGGAAGAAACGGUAUGGGCUAAUAUCCCGCACUAAUGACGGUACCUGAAGAAUAAGCACCGGCUAACUACGUGCCAGCAGCCGCGGUAAUACGUAGGGUGCAAGCGUUAAUCGGAAUUACUGGGCGUAAAGCGUGCGCAGGCGGUUUUGUAAGUCUGUCGUGAAAUCCCCGGGCUCAACCUGGGAAUUGCGAUGGAGACUGCAAGGCUAGAAUCUGGCAGAGGGGGGUAGAAUUCCACGUGUAGCAGUGAAAUGCGUCGAGAUGUGGAGGAACACCGAUGGCGAAGGCAGCCCCCUGGGUCAAGAUUGACGCUCAUGCACGAAAGCGUGGGGAGCAAACAGGAUUAGAUACCCUGGUAGUCCACGCCCUAAACGAUGUCUACUAGUUGUCGGGUUUUAAUUAACUUGGUAACGCAGCUAACGCGUGAAGUAGACCGCCUGGGGAGUACGGUCGCAAGAUUAAAACUCAAAGGAAUUGACGGA